Molecule: small RNA, 677 nt
Filed under: Pan troglodytes (chimpanzee)
Lineage: Eukaryota; Metazoa; Chordata; Mammalia; Primates; Hominidae
Description: retained intron
Source: RNAcentral
CAUACCAGUCUCAUCAAAUGAAAACCAUGUAUUUCCCUUGGAUAUUACUCAGUGUUUGAGAAUGUUAUACCUGUACAGAAACUAACCAAUUGAGUGAUAGAAACAAGUAAUUGAAAUGGUGGUUCCUUAUGUCUGGUAACAGUUUGACAGUGUGUUAGACAGAAUAAGGCAAGUGUUGCAUCUUGUUUAGUUUUAGCUUCUUUAUGCCUAACCAACCUAAUACAGUGUUGAGUAGUUAAGGAAAUUCCUUUGGACUGAUUGAUAUAAUUGUGUUUUUCACUUUUUUUAUUAAGAUCCCCGUCGAGGUCAAGAUCAAGAUCCAGGUCUAUUUCACGACCAAGAAGCAGCCGAUCAAAGUCCAGAUCUCCAUCUCCAAAAAGAAGUCGUUCCCCAUCAGGAAGUCCUCGCAGAAGUGCAAGUCCUGAAAGAAUGGACUGAAGCUCUCAAGUUCACCCUUUAGGGAAAAGUUAUUUUGUUUACAUUAUUAUAAGGGAUUUGUGAUGUCUGUAAAGUGUAACCUAGGAAAGAUAAUUCAACCAUCUAAUCAAAAUGGAUCUGGAUUACUAUGUAAAUUCACAGCAGUAAGAUAAUAUAAAUUUUUGUUGAAUGUAUUAACAUCAUAUGGUCUGAAAAUGUGGGUUUUUAUUUGGCACAUUUAAAUAAAAUGUUUCUAACUA